RNAcentral lists this transfer RNA (74 nucleotides) under marine sediment metagenome. Its description in RNAcentral is "tRNA-Asp". It matches the Rfam family "tRNA". From Rfam's summary of the family: Transfer RNA (tRNA) molecules are approximately 80 nucleotides in length. The record is from RNAcentral.
GCCGCAGUAGCUCAGCUGGUUAGAGCAUCCGCCUGUCACGCGGAAGGCCGAGGGUUCGAGUCCCUUCUGCGGCG